RNAcentral lists this ribosomal RNA (496 nucleotides) under uncultured bacterium. RNAcentral's name for it is "partial 16S ribosomal RNA". It matches the Rfam family "Bacterial small subunit ribosomal RNA", at positions 28 to 507 of the family's 1533-position model. The record is from RNAcentral.
GACGAACGCUGGCGGCGUGCCUAAUACAUGCAAGUUGAGCGCUGAAGGUUGGUACUUGUACCGACUGGAUGAGCAGCGAACGGGUGAGUAACGCGUGGGGAAUCUGCCUUUGAGCGGGGGACAACAUUUGGAAACGAAUGCUAAUACCGCAUAAAAACUUUAAACACAAGUUUUAAGUUUGAAAGAUGCAAUUGCAUCACUCAAAGAUGAUCCCGCGUUGUAUUAGCUAGUUGGUGAGGUAAAGGCUCACCAAGGCGAUGAUACAUAGCCGACCUGAGAGGUGAUCGGCCACAUUGGGACUGAGACACGGCCCAAACUCCUACGGGAGGCAGCAGUAGGGAAUCUUCGGCAAUGGACGAAAGUCUGACCGAGCAACGCCGCGUGAGUGAAGAAGGUUUUCGGAUCGUAAAACUCUGUUGGUAGAGAAGAACGUUGGUGAGAGUGGAAAGCUCAUCAAGUGACGGUAACUACCCAGAAAGGGACGGCUAACUACGUG